This is a long non-coding RNA of Mercenaria mercenaria, 467 nucleotides long. RefSeq lists it as uncharacterized. The record is from RefSeq and is a predicted model, not a curated record. Lineage: Eukaryota; Metazoa; Mollusca; Bivalvia; Venerida; Veneridae. The transcript has 5 exons.
GGGCAGUACAAGGAUUUUGGCAGUAUAUAUUGAGGCUGUAAUAACUUGGAACUAUGAUUCAAGAAGCAAUGAGUCUGUGCUGUCCACUCUCUGACAGACAUCAAGGAUUUGGCAGUGUAUCUUGAGUGCUUAAUAAUCCGUAAAGUUUUGGAUGAUAUGAGAGAAUGUGUGUCUCUGACAGCUUAUCAAACACAUAAUACAAGCAGAACACUCCCAAUGCACAGAGAUAUUGACCUACAGAAGUUGAGGUGAAUAGGUACAGAAGCUGCAUUAACAGGAACAAUAUUUGAAUGAUAACUUCUGUAUAUUUUGUUGAAACCUGACUCUCCUAAUCACCUGUAUCUAUAACACUUAUAUACUCAGGAUGAAAACAGACAGAAAGGAUUGAGUUUUGAUUGGUUCUUCACAAUGAAGAGGGUCAUUUGGAGGACAGAAAUGUAUGAAGUUCAGUUUGAUUAAGGAAAGGU